Molecule: non-coding RNA, 1864 nt
Organism: Pantherophis guttatus
Lineage: Eukaryota; Metazoa; Chordata; Lepidosauria; Squamata; Colubridae
Source: RefSeq, a predicted model, not a curated record
CUUUUGGUCAGUCACCCUUUUUCAGCUCAAUUCACCUUAUAGGAUUAUUGCUGUGGGAAAAAUAUGAGAUAGAAAGUGUGUUGGCUAUGCUCGCCGUUUUGAAUUAUUUGUUAUUUGUAAAAAAUAAUAACACAGGAAACAAACAAACAUACAAACCCAGCAGUUGGCUCUGCAGAUUUUAUUAGGGAUUUCUAUUUGGAUAUCUUUAUAGAAAACCAAGCUGAAUUCCUGUGACUUCAUUUUAUUAAAAAAAACCCUUUUCUUAUUUGGCAUCUUAUUUGCUAUCUUGAGCUGUGGUGGCGCAGUGAUUAGAAUGCAGUAUUGUAGGCUAAUUCAGCUCGCUGCCAGGAGUUUGAUCCUCAAGGUUGACUCAUCCUUCCGAGAUCAGUAAAAUGAGGGCCCAAAUUGUUUGGUUUUUUUAAAUAAUUUUUUUAUUUAUAUCAAACAUAGAAAAAAACAAAAGAAAACAUAAAAUCUCCAUCAUUCAAAUACAAUCACAAACAGUAUGUCAAUCGGUUAAAAAUUUUUUGUGCUCAGUCUCUUAUCCCAAUUUUCAAAUUAAUUAGUUUCUCUCGUUUAACAGUUUUGUAUUCACUUAACCACUAUUGAACAGAAAGGUGAAUAAAAACAAAAGGAAAAUCACUUCAUAUAUUGUUAUCUUUACAUAUUCAUAUUUCAUUUUUUAUCUCCAUGUUUUGUUAUCUAACCAUUGACAAAACAAAUCCCAAAUUAAGUAAUAUUGUUUAUCUUCUUGUUCCCUAAUUUCAAAGAGGGCCCAAAUUGUUGGGGCCAAUAUGUUGACUCUGUAAACUGCUUAGAAAGGGCUGUAAAGCACUAUAAAGUGGUAUAUUAAUCUAGGUGCUAUUGCUAUUGUUAGGAUAUGGUGUAAGCCUAACAAGUUGUCCAGGCAAUAUAUGUGUUCUAUAACUUUAAAUGUAUUCUGUAACUUUAAGAUGUAAUGCUGAGUAAUUGUACUGAUGAGUCAUUGUAACUGACUGCUGACUGACUGCUGACUACAAUUAUCCUAAUUGUACUGUUGAGUCAUUGCACUGCUGACUCCACUUAUCUUAAGUGGAUAAUUACUAGUGUAAACUGUAUAUAAGGAGUGAGCCGAGCUAUAGUCAUUGUUGCUUGACUUCUUGCUUGACUUGUUGGUUGGAACUGUUACUGUCGUGUGUGGAGAAGUGGAUGGAUCUGCUACCAUCGUGAUUUGUUACCAGUGUUGAAUUGCUGUUUAUUACCUACUGCUGUUUGUAUGAUAAUGGCAGUGGUGGGUUGCCCCCGGUUCGCAUCGGUUCUACAGAACUGGUAGAAAAACUGGCAGGAGGCCCCGCUCAGUGAUCUUGACAUCAUGAAAAUGCUUCUGCGCAUGCGCGCGCGGCCCUGUUGCGAACCGGUAGUAAAGCCAUAUCAUUUUUAUAGAGGUUCAUCUACACCUUCAUUCGGGCAAAAAAAAUAUUCCUGUGUGAAUAUCCAAGAACAAGUCACCCAAGAUGAAUAACUGACUGCAACCCACAAAGGACAAGGGUGAUUAUUAAAGCAGAGCUCUGGAAUGAGACUUGUGGAAUAAUAAAUCACAAAGUAGAAAAGGAAAGAAAUUCAUUUUAUAUACCUGGCAAUUAUGAUCGUAUUUUAUCAUCAUAAAUUGUGAAUGCUAGAUUUCAUCUAUAAACUAUAUUACUGUGUUUUUUCCUUUACAGGUAUGUAUGGUUUUUAUAAUAUAUUUAAAAUAUUUUCACUUGGAGAAGCUGCAUUGAGAAAUAUCUAUAAAAUAAUAUCUAAUGAAUUCAUAAUGUAUUUUUUAAAAUCCAUUUAAAACCAUUAUCAUUACCCUAACUUUGCAUUAAAAACCCAAUAAAAGAAU